GCUGGGUGUGGUGGUGCACGCCUGUAAUCCCAGUGACUCAGGAGGUUGAGGCAGGAGGAUCGCAGUUUCAAAGCCAGCCCCAGCAACUUAUUGAGGCCUUAAGCAACUCAGCAAGACCUUGUCUCAA
This 127-nucleotide small RNA is filed under the name Marmota monax (woodchuck). The record is from RNAcentral. Lineage: Eukaryota; Metazoa; Chordata; Mammalia; Rodentia; Sciuridae.